UAGUGUAGGUCUAUCUUUGUAACACUGUAGGUUUGAGUUACUGUAGGUUUAUCUUUGUAAUACUGUAGGUUUGAGUUACUGUAGGUUUAUCUUUGUAAUACUGUAGGUUUGAGUUACGGUAGGUUUAUCU
Molecule: long non-coding RNA, 130 nt
Organism: Thalassophryne amazonica
Lineage: Eukaryota; Metazoa; Chordata; Actinopteri; Batrachoidiformes; Batrachoididae
Exons: 3
Source: RefSeq, a predicted model, not a curated record